UGGCCGAUGACUGGGGUGAAGUCGUAACAAGGUAGCCGUAGGGGAACCUGCGGCUGGAUCACCUCCUUA
RNAcentral lists this ribosomal RNA (69 nucleotides) under Acinetobacter haemolyticus. RNAcentral describes it as "partial 16S ribosomal RNA". It matches the Rfam family "Bacterial small subunit ribosomal RNA", at positions 1465 to 1533 of the family's 1533-position model. RNAcentral also lists the same sequence under 2 other names. Lineage: Bacteria; Pseudomonadati; Pseudomonadota; Gammaproteobacteria; Moraxellales; Moraxellaceae. The record is from RNAcentral.